CCAAAAUCUGGAAGUCAUCACCACAAGAACAUCUAUGAUCAAAUUACUAAACUAAGAGUAUUCUAAGAAGCUAAAACAAAUAAAAGCCAGUCCAUGCCGAAAGUUCAAGGCAUCAAGACAUGAAGGAGAAGAUCCAGUCCAAGCUAGAAGCAUUAGCUCACCCUGAAGAUCCGGUGUGACGAAGACUGGCUAGAGUUGCGGUUGAGUUGAAGACGAUGACACGUUUGCUGCACUCCACAAAUAACAAAGAAGAAAACAAUAAAAGUAGGGGUCAGUACAAAACACGGGUACUGAGUAGAUAUCAUCGGCCAACUCAAAAUAGAAAACAGUAUAUAUUAAGCAAUAUCAUAAAAUCAACUAAUAUCCUUAGCAUGCAGCAUUUACAGUUACCAUAACCCUUGUUUACAACACCAAGCACAUCAAUGAGGACUCACGCCUCCUCAUCAUACUCAUUUGAGAAUUAGGUUCAUUAGAUUUGAAUAUAUUAUCAUCUUUCAAGAUUCAUUAUCUUUAUUCCCCUUGUGUCGGUACGUGACACUCCGAUCCUAAUUCUAUCCUGGUGUCGGAACGUGACACCCGAUCCAUAUUCUAUCCUGGUACCGGAACGUGGCACCCGAUCCAUAUACUAUCCUGGUGUCGAAACGUGACACCCGAUCCAUAUACUAUCCUGGUACCGGAACGUGGCACCCGAUCCAUAUACUAUCCUGGUGUCGGAACGUGACACCCGAUCCAUAUACUAUCCUGGUACCGGAACGUGGCACCCGAUCCUCAUAUACUAUCCUAGUACCGGAACGUGGCACCCGAUCCCCUAAUCUCACUACUUUCGUUCAUCAAGCCUUCUUUUAUACCAAAGCAUCAUCAUUAACAAAGUAGAUUAGGGUUUCUUUUUCAAGAUUUAGGAUUCAAUAGCUUCAUCAUGCUUAUUUUAUCACAAUUACAUAAUCACAUUCAUGCAAGCAUACAAUUAAGCAUAUAGAAGGGUUUACAAUACUACCAAUACAUAUCAUUCGCUAUUAAGAGUGUACUACGAAUAGCAUAAAAACCAUAACCUACCUCCACCGAAGACUAGUGAUCAAGCAAGAAUUUCCCAAAGCCUUGUGUUUUUCCUCUUCGUUCGUCUCUCUCUAUCGAUUCUCCUUCCCUCUCUUUGUUCUUUCUAUUCUCUUUAUUCAAACCCUCUUUCUUUUACCCUAAUUAGUAUAUAAUUAAGAAUAAAGAUGGCAAUAAUAACCCACUAAUUAACUUAAGGUUACCUCUUUUAACCCCAAGUAAUUAGACUUAUUAACAUUAACCCUCUAACUUUAUAAUUAAAGUAGGAAUAGUCCAAAACGUCCCUUAAAACGUAUAAAGAAAUCCGACCCAGACUGGGAUUACGCAAUCUGUGACGGCCCGUCGUGCCUGCGACGGUCCAUCCUGCUGCUCCGUCACAGACUUCAGAGACUCAAUUUCUCUGAAGGGUCUGUGACGGUCCGUCACACCUGUGACGGUCCGUCCUGCCAUUCCGUUACGAAGUUCAGAGAGUCGAUUUCAGUACCCAAUUUUCAGAUUUUCUAAGUGUUUUGAAACGAGACCCUGCGACGGUCCGUCGUGCCCAUGACGGUCCGUCGUGCCCAUGACGGUCCGUCGUGGGGUCCGUCGCCUCAGCCUGUUUUUUCCAGAAAUAAAAUCUGCUGCUCAAAACGACUAAACAUGUCGUUACAUACUAAUUAUCCUCUUAAUAAACCGUCACAUUAUUAAUGCAAGCUACUGCCAAUUGAUUGUUUUUAAAAAUUAUUGAAGUAAAUUAUCAUACAUUCAAGUGGCUAAAUAAAAAUCACCGAUAAACUUAAAAGUCUGAUUAUGUUCAUCUUAAUUAUUCUUACGUUUCAAUUAUGUGAUGUUACUUCAUAGGUAACUUUUUUUUCAAAUAUAUUAAAGGUUUUAAAACAAAUCUUAAAUAUUUAAAAAUUAUAUUUAAAAAAAAGUGCAUGAAUUAAUUCGGGAUGUAUUACUUGUUUACCUUUAAUCAUAAAUUUUUAAUUCAAUCUUGAAAGAAAGUGUCGUCCUGAAUAAGCGGCUCAACCUAAAUUUAAUUGGGGUUUCGAUUCGGACUCGAAUAAUUUUGUAUGUCAUUUUAAGGAAUCUAUAAUUUUAGUAGUGUUUAUGACGAUUUUGAUAUUAUAAUCGAAUCAUUGAUUGAAUAAGGUUUAGUUAGUAAUGAGUGGGUAGUGGAUUGAUUUAUAAAUUAUAUUAAUAAAUUAAAAUUAUAAUCAAUAGUUGAACUCCAAGUAUUUUAAAAAUAUUUAAAGAGUUAAAUUUUAAAACAAUUAAAAAGUGGUCAAUUUUGAACCCAAAGGUGGAUGACAAGGGUAUUUUGGAGCCAACAGGUGGAUGAAAAGGGCAUUUUGGAGCCAAUAGGUGGAUGGAGGGUAAUUUUGUACCAUUUUCAAUACUUUAAGGGUAUUUUAGGCCCUUUUCCGUAAAAUAUUUAGUCAUCCAAAAAAAUAGAAUUAUAACUAAAGCUAAUUAAAAUAUAAAAUAAAAAAUAAAAAAUAAAAAUAGAAUUAUAACUAAAGCUAAUUUGUUUUAAAAGAAUUAUAACUAAAGCUUAACCAACAAAACAUGUGAUAGAGUUCACUGAAUAUGACAUUCUUCCGGCUAUAUCUAAAAUAGUACUAACAACUAUAAGCAAUUUAGCAGCAAAUAACAAGAAAUUAAAGAUGAUCGCAGUCCCAAAAGCAAUCCAACAGUACAAAGGAAAGAAGAAAAAAAUCAUCAAGCUUCAAAUUAUUAAACAGAAAGAUAUUAAAAAGAAAAUGGGAUAGAGAGUACUAUACACUGUUUAUGGUUUCAUGGUAGUUUGGAGCUUUAAGCUGGUCGGAUUUGUUGGAAAUGUGAACCCGAAUAGAUCUGGUCGUCCUUACAGUGGUCACCGCUUGUUA
Molecule: long non-coding RNA, 2921 nt
Filed under: Solanum lycopersicum (tomato)
Lineage: Eukaryota; Viridiplantae; Streptophyta; Magnoliopsida; Solanales; Solanaceae
Description: long non-coding RNA (SLYC_LNC000679)
Source: RNAcentral